Cordylochernes scorpioides is the source of this 7220-nucleotide non-coding RNA. The record is from the annotation of a GenBank genome assembly. Lineage: Eukaryota; Metazoa; Arthropoda; Arachnida; Pseudoscorpiones; Chernetidae.
UAUAAUAUAAAAAGCCAACAAUGAAGAAUUAAUGUAAGAUAAAAAGCCAACAAUGAAGAGUAAAUGUAAUAUAAAAAGCCAACAAUGAAGAAUGAAUGUAAGAUAAAAAGCCAACAAUGAAGAGUGAAUGUAAUAUAAAAAGCCAACAAUGAAGAAUGAAUGUAAGAUAAAAAGCCAACAAUGAAGAGUGAAUGUAAGAUAAAAAGCCAACAAUGAAUAGUAAAUGUAAUAUAAAAAGCCAACAAUGAAGAAUGAAUGUAAGAUAAAAAGCCAACAAUGAAGAGUGAAUAAAUCUAUAUUAAUAAAAUGCAAAUUUCAUAAGUGUUCACUAAAAACUUUCGUUACAAUGCAUUAAUUUCAACCAAAUUUUCAACAUUUAUGUAAAACGAGAUGGAGCAGGUUUUGCUUAACAUCAAAAUAUAUUUCCUAACAUUAACAUGCGUAACUUCGGUGUUAUCGAUUAAAUACAAAAAAAAUCAACAGAGUUAAUUUUAUUUAUAUAUAAAUACAAAAAAAAAUUCAACAGAGUUAAUUUUUUUACAUACACACACACUAGCUAAUAAUCUCAAACUAAAAAUAUUAUAUAAAUAUAUUACUUAACGAAUAUAAUUAUCAUUAUUAUCAUAAUAUUCUGUGUGUUCCAGAAUAUUAUUAUCAAUAAUAUUCGUUAGGCAAACUUUCACUCGGAUAAAACCCGGGCGAAGCCGGGUACACAUCCGCUAGUAUUUAAUAAAUUACUAGCUUUCAAGCGAUACUCGCUCUUCAACGGGCUUAAUAAAAAACAUCGACUAUUUCUUAUAAGAAAAACUAACAAUAUUUGUACGUAUUUCUAAAUAUUUCUUGUAAGAUAUAGUCAAUGUUUUUUAUUAAGCCCGUUGAAGAGUGAUUUUCGCUUGAAAACUUGCAAUUUAUUAAAUAAAAAGAAAUUCAUUAUGAGGAAAUAUUUAGUAUUUUUAAAUAUAUAUUAUGUAAAGUAGCAUAGGUUAAUGGGUUUAUAGCAUUUUUUAAAUGACUUUCUGACUUGAAGAAAUAAGUAGCUGCUAUUUUCAGUUGGAAUCCUUUCACUGUGAAAAAACCUCUUGAAUAUUGUUAAAAUAAAUUUCAUAUUAAAACAACUUCUUGUGCUUAUAGCUAUGAGGUUAUAUUAUUAAAUUAUAAAUUAAGGCAAAUCUCUUUGAGUAGAAGGCUAUCUCUUUGAUGGGCCAAACUUUAUAUUUUCAUGAAAUCAAAUGUUGAAGAACAAGGUGUUAAAAGUGUAGACAGCAAAGUAAAGUUGUUUGAACGGGUCGUUUGUGGAUAAAAACUGAACAUACACUAGGUAUUUUCAGUUCUUGGCUGUAAAAUGGUUGAGAUAUGAUAGAGAUAAAUCGUUGAUAAGUGUUGAGGUUAUUUUACUAAACCAUAAAGUGGGCAUGCUUUCGAUCAAACGACUCUUUAAUAGCCCUAAUUUAUAUAUAUUCAUAUAAACAAAUGUGUCAUCUAUACAUAAGAAAAUGAAGCAUUUAAGCAUGAAGGUUUCUUUUUAAAUAUAAAACAAACUUCUAAUGUCCUUACUGCGAUUAUGAAAAACUUAGUUUGUUUUAUAUUUUAAAGGAAAUCUUCGUGCUUAAAUGCUUCAAUUUCUUAAGUAUUGAUGGAACAUUUGUACAUAUAUAAAUUAGGCCUAUUAAAGAGUCAUUUGAUCAAAAGCUUGACCAAUUUAUGGCUUAGUAAAAUAACUCAACACUUAUCAACGAUUUAUCUCUACCAUAUAUCUAUCAUUCUACAGCCAAGAACUGAAAAUACCUAGUGAAUGGGCAGUUUUACUUUUCUGUCUGCACUUUUAAUAUCCACAAACGACCCGUUCAAACAACUUUGCUGUCUGUAGGCAUUUUUAACACCUUGUUCUUCAACAGUCGACUAUUGUUGAUUGUCACAACCAUUUUCUUUUUUUACUAUGAUCUCUGUUGGAAGGCUUUUGUAUAAAUAAUUCGGUUUUCAAAUAAUUUAGUUUCGGAUUGCCUUUAUAACGUGACCAUUAUAUAAUUGCCCUAACACAAUUAUCAAUGACUUUCUUGCGGAGCAUCAAUACACGAACCAUCUAUUUAUAUAAAUUUCAGAAAUGGGAAAAUAUAAUUCGGGUAAAAAGUUUAUUUCAUUUUAGUUUUUUCAAGCUUUUGAGCAGAUUCUUUUGCUAUUCAAUGGGCUAAUACUCUAUGUACAAUCUCUAAAUAUUCUUUAUACAAAAUAAUUGAAAAUAAAUUGUUACAGCAUGUGUCCUUGCGGGCGUGCAUCAGCCUGUUUACAGCAAAAAUAAUUGAUAUUAUAAUAGGAUAAAAUAUACACAUACAAUUAUAUAGAUAAUUUUCAGGGAAAUUGUUAUAUUGGGUUGGUAGGUCUAUUUUUCUAUUGAUGCUAUUUAUUUUUGAUGAUACCAGUGCUUCCAGGAAUAAUCGUUGUUGCUUGCUGCCAAAGAUCUAUACGGCCAUAUUCAUCUUAAAUACUACCUCACCAUGAAUUUCUCUGAAAUACUGCAACAUAUUGUUGUAUCAGGUUGAGGUUCACUAAUUCCUCAGCUUUAUUUUCUCCUUAUGUAUUCCCUGAACUUUCCAGAGCAUGUUUCAACCAUCAUAUAAGGUUAUAGGUCAGACGUCAGCAAACCUUUGAGUCGAAAGAGUCAAAAAUUACAAUUUACAAAAUUUCAAAGUUUUCAAAGAGCCACAAUUUUUUUCCUUGCCAACAAUAAAUAGUACUCGCGUAAAUAAUAUUUACGUAUGGAACUAUAUAAAGAGCCACAGCUUCACAAAGAACCGCAUGUGGCCCGCGAGCCGCAUUUGCCGAACUGUGUUAUAGGUGGAUAAUAAAAGGCAACUAUUAGGUAACACCAUGAGAAUAACUCAUUUUUCUCAUUCCUUAUUUAAAAAAAUGGGUAGUCACACAGUGUUGCAUUAUAUACCGAUCUAGUUUAUAAUACACUCAUGGACAAAACUUAAGGAAGCUGUACCUUUCAUCAUGUAUAUUGGGAUAUUCAGACAAUAACUCUGAAAUAUAUUUGCUACACAGUGAUCUUUAUUGAAGACACACGAGAUAACCAAGUGUGAACAAAAUUGCCUGUCUCCUUCAAAAAACAGAUGAUUCGCGACACCAAAAUAUGAAAUUUCCUUAAGUUUUGUCCAUGAAUGUACAUAAUCUGUUUAUACGGAGGGUGUUUCCUUUCAAAUGAAACGAUUUCAAACGUCCGUUAGAACUUUAUUUUUCGAACGUGAAUUUUUUUCAUGUGUUCUAUGUGCUUCCCCUUCUUCUUGGCUAUCUCCCUGCAUCGGACUUUCCAAGCUGCGAACACUUCCUUGACUUUGGAGAGCGAAACAUUCGACCACUCCUCUUGUGCGGCUUUCCAAAGAAGGAAACAGUUAUAGCGUCAUAGUGAAAAAGCUAAAAGCAGAAGGACUAGAUGUUGGCAAAGCUACAAUAUGUAGGGUAGUAAAUGGCAUCGGAAAGAAAAGGGAAGCUGAAUCCAAUGGGCAAAAAUUUCAAGUCGAUCGACCACGUCCGGUGCGGACCCCCGCCACGGUUUCCAAGGUAAAGCGGCUAGCAACUACUGAAAAUCCACCAUCUCAGCGCCAACUUUCCAGAAUGUGUGGAACAUCGCUAAAAACGAUAAAUAACAUCAUUCACAAAGAUUUGGAACUGGAUACCCGACGAAAAGGCAAGGUUCACAAGCUCACCCCUUUCCACAUGAAAAACCGUGCAACGAAUGCCCGGAAGCUCUACGAGGAACACCUGGCCGGUUCCAGAUCGGAAUAUACUGCAACAUUGGACGAAGCAUGGAUGUAUGUGACGUAUUGCAAUGGAAUCCGGAAGAUCUGUUACAUCAAAAGAGGCAAUCAGGUCCCGGAUAAUUGGGUUCACCAAUGCUCCGAAACUUUUCCUAAAGGUUUCAUGGUUGUCGGGGUAAUGACUGGCCGUGGAGUCCUUCCGCUCAUAAAGGUUCCAUCGAAGGUGAAGGUGAACUCAGAAUUCUAUAUAGAAUGCGUUCUGAAACCUGUCAUCGAACAACUGAAGGACCUUUACCCAGGGGAAAUGGACAAAGUGUUUCUUCAUCACGACAAAGCCUCUUCCCAUACCUCCAACAAAACCCAACAGUUCCUACAAGAAAUGAAGGACACCCUAGGCCUAAAUUUUAUCAGGAACUCGGACAUUCCAGUGAAGUCUCCCGACGCCAGCCCACUGGAUUUUUACGGGUUCGGUAUGUUGAAACAACGGCUCUUCAACCGACGUCCCAAAACUGAGGCCGGACUUUGGAAAGCCGCACAAGAGGAGUGGUCGAAUGUUUCGCUCUCCAAAGUCAAGGAAGUGUUCGCAGCUUGGAAAGUCCGAUGCAGGGAGAUAGCCAAGAAGAAGGGGAAGCACAUAGAACACAUGAAAAAAAUUCACGUUCGAAAAAUAAAGUUCUAACGGACGUUUGAAAUCGUUUCAUUUGAAAGGAAACACCCUCUGUAUAUAUGAAAUUGAUAUCGUGAUAUUUUCAAAUAUAUGAUAAAUAUAUAUAAUAUAUUAACAUAUAUAUCAACCAUAGGAUUGAACAAUAUAGAAAGAAUAUUAAUACAAUAUUAGAGUGGUAUAGUAGAUUAAAAAUUCCAAAUCUUUGACCGAGGCUACCAUGAUUAACAAAGCCCUUUCAAUAUUUUUUCUCAUUGUAACAGAGGCAGCAGGAAAUUGUUUUUAAUUUAUGAAAAGUUUGCGUUGAUAAAUGUCUAAUAGUGUUUUAUUUCAAUCAAUAAAUCGACGCUGAAAUCGGUCUUUGUUAAUAAAUUAUUGCUUAGCAUAUAAUAUUGCAAGAAAGUAGAUAAUAUGAUAAUAGAUUAGAGAAAUAACAUUAUGUUAUUUUGAUUAAAAUAUAAUAAUAUAUAAUAUAUUGAUUAUUCAACUAACUAUAUCAAUGUGAGAGAGAAUAACGUCAGUAUCUUUUUACAGAAGUAUUAAAAUGUUUUGAUCAUCUUGGCUGCAAUUAUUUUCAAGUAUUAACACCAGUUCUUGGAGGUUUGUUCACAUCUAGCUUACUCAAAACCUUUCUAGGGUUUUUGUUUGAUUUGAUUAAUUCUAAAAUGGGAUGUGGUUAGGCAGAGUUUAUGAGACAUUUAAUACAGAAUGGUUAAGACUUCUUAAUAUUCUCGAAAGUCAAUGGUUUUACGUGAUCUGUUUUAAACAUUUUUUCUGAGAGAUGAAAUGAACAAAGGUAUAUUUAGAAUUUUAUUUAAGUUGUGAAACACUAUUCUCAUCAUAUUUUAAGUUCCUUCGUUAUUGAGCUCAAGGGAAGCAUGACUACAUACCUUGUCUUGAUAAGUCAACACUUUAGAUAUUUAUUAUUCAAAACCUUUCAUAUAUAAAUAUCAUCCACAUUGAAUAUAGGCAAAAAAUAUUUUUUUAUAACUUAAUUAUAUUGGGCUUAUGUGGCGCUGAGUAUUUUAUUGACAAAAAUAUGUUGUAAUACCUUGAAAAAGGUUGGCGUUCACCAACUGAAAUAUUGGCAAAUAAAUUAUAUUUUGAUCCAAAAUAUGCCUUUUUAAUUAAAGAUAUACAAAUAUGUACAUCAGUUGGUCAAUGAUCAAAAUGAAUAUAAAUUAUAAUGCACAUCAUAAACCUUACAAUUAAUCUGGUGGUUAUUUAAAAUGCAGCCUGCACCACGCUAAAAAAGCUAAAAUUUUCAAAAAAUCAAAUAUUAUUGCUUUUUAUUGAUUAAUAUUGAAAAUGUCUGUUUGUUUGAGUACUGUAUUUUUAUUUGUAAAUAAAACACUACUUUUAGUUUAUUUAAUUACUUAAAUAAAUGGUGUUAGGUAUCAUGUAAAUGACCGUUGAGUUUAUCAGAAGAUAGCUUCGUCUUCAAGAAAAAACAAACAUUUUAGCUAAUGAAAUUCUUCAUGGAUAAUUUAUUGAUCAUUUUAAAAAUUGAGAGCCACCUAGAGUUGUGGAGAGUCUUGUUACCACCAGUCAAUCCAUUAUAAAAGUUGCAGAAAGAGAUUUGUGUCCAAGUUGGUUUCCAGAGAGCGCUGUCCUAGAAAGCAUAGACCUUAUUACGAGUCUUUAAUCCCGGAUUAAGUUUUCCAUUUAGAAAGUUGAAAAGUUUUGUUCUUCCUGCAACUUCUAACGGAAAUACCCAAUUAAAUCCCAUGAAAUAUCAAGAGAUCUUUGUCAUUUCUGAUGCAGGACUUCUUUACUGGGUUUCUAAUUACCUGGUGGCUUAGAAUCAUCAAAUCUUUCUUUCUUCUUAAAAAAAAAGAAAGAAAAAUCUAUUUAAAUAUUAUAUCAGAUAACCUGUGCCCUGUCCACCAACACUAUCCGUAAUUAGCUUACUGCGUUAAGAGUAAUUGAAAAGAUAAUACUCUUCCUAUAAUUAACAUUAUAAUACCAGAUAAUUAUUUGUUUAAAAGAUUUCUUUUAUCAUUACACCCUCAAAGAUUAUUAAAAUUGUCAUAAUAAAAAUAUCGAAAUAUCAAAAAUAUCAAAAAAUAUUAAACUUCUUCAAGUUUUGUCCAUAAGUGUACAAUGUGUGUGCACCUUGUCUCCUUUGAUUCAUAGCUGAAUGUAUUUUGAAAUUCAUUCCGAAAAUUGAAAUAAAAAUUACGAUGUUACAUUUGCCAUAUGAUCAUUAUUAGCUUUUGAUGCAAAUGUAAGGUCCUUGAAGGAUAGUGAUGUAGGAACUUGUAUAAAGCUAAAAUAUGUUUAAAUGAUUGACCAUGCUGAUUAACCAAUCGCAUUGAAUUUCAAGAAAAUACCAUUUACUGAUCAUACAACUUAAAGUUGUUGAUGACUUGCCUUAUCUGUCAAAAAAUGAAUUAAUCAUUACAUUUUAAUUGAUUCCUUCUCGAAGGAAGAAUCUUACACGAUUAGAAAAUGUUUUUUUUUUUUUCUUAAUUUUCUCUAACAUGUGAUCCCAGUCUUUUGUUUAUAUAAAAGACAUAUAAUUCUAUAAAAUAGGCUUAAACAUUUUUUUAAAACAAAAUAUCAAAGCCUUAACUAUAUAUAUGCACUUAUGGACAAAACUAAAGGAAGUAAAAAGUCUUUGCUGUCGACUGUCGUCUUUUUUUUUUUUUUUUUAAGGAAACAUAGGCAACUUUUUCACACUUGGUUAUCUCGUUUAUUCAAUAAAGGUCAUUGUGUAUCAAAUAUCUUCCAGAGGAAUUGUCUGAAUCCCGAUAUACAUCUUAAAAGGUAAAACUUUCUUAAGUUUUGUCCAUGAGUAU